Molecule: long non-coding RNA, 2123 nt
Organism: Photinus pyralis (common eastern firefly)
Lineage: Eukaryota; Metazoa; Arthropoda; Insecta; Coleoptera; Lampyridae
Exons: 2
Source: RefSeq, a predicted model, not a curated record
CGGAACUUCGUGAAACAUGAAAACAUCACGCUUUAUUACGGCUCGCUAAGGCAGCUUUAUUAUACCAAGGGGUGCGCGAAGGAGCGCGGCCCACAUAUGAGGACUUCGUACGCGACAUCCAAGAAAGACGGUCGAGAAAUAGAGCAAUGUAUCGAGCCAUUGUUACUGUUCAAUAAACGCCCACUGUAAAUUGUCGUAUAGUGUUUAAUUAAGGGGUGUAAUACCCCUAAUCCUUUAUAAAGUUAGUGAAUCUUUUACAUCAGAAGUGGGAUGUGCCCAAAUAAUUAACUAAUAGCUACCGAGAUAAUUACAUUAAAAAAAAAAGUGUUUAAAGAAAUUCGCGCCGCGACGGUGCGGUCCGAAAAAGUGUUGUUUGUAACGUCGAGUGCCAUGCAAGACAACAGACAAGUGAGUUGCAGAAAAUUUUGAUUACCUAAGUGGAAGCGCAAUAACGUAAACCGAAAUCGUAUAGUAGGGAACAGUUUUCGUUUUUUAUUGACUAGCCCUCGUGCGAGUAGGUGCCCGGAUGAAAAGUUGUGGCACAUUAAACUGUUUACAUGCUCACUUCUGUGAGUAGAGUACAAUUCGGUUAGAAACUUGCGUUCCGCCUUACCAAUACAAUGACCACAAUUGGAACGUGAGCUUUAGGAACUUAAGCGGGUUCGACGCAAGACCAUUAAAUUUAAAUCGGUCAAGAAUUCCAAAUACGUUUUGAUAUACGCGGGAAAUAAUACAAAAGUUACGACGCAAAACCCGUUUUUAGGAAGAAAUUGCCAUCGCCAGACAUUGAAAACAAUGCAUUGAAUUUCUACUUCCAAAUCAAGCAUUUAUUGCCAAAACCAAGAUACCUCAAUUAAACUUUUGAUUAGAACAGUGACAUUUCGUAACCAAGGAAACGCCUCUUUAACUUCUUAAUUUAUGACGUCUGAAACCCUAUUCGAACUGAAUAUGAGUGGUAAAAACUAGUUUAAAGUUAAAAAUAGAAACCGCAUUGACCCUUUAAAAACUCAUCAUUACCUAAGUGAGGGAAAGUUGCUGUCGUCUUAAAAAAAAAAGAAACGCACUUUAAUACAUCGCGCUCGUCGUUUGGUGUGCAAAAAGAGCAGCUGGCCGCGACAACACGUAUCUAAGCUGAAUGUUCCUCAAGUAUUGGGGAACUCGCGCGUUCCGACAUCAAAGAUGAAGGAAUUAGCGGAAGGUAGCAAAUAAGAGGAUGGAAUAUCAUCCCGGCGUCGUUCGGUUCAGAUGACCACAGAUGAACACAGGAGAUCAUGAUGCAUUAUUACCCCGCAAAAUUAAAAUACCACCCAUCAAUUCCUCGGGAUAACGAAACUACAAUAUUUUGUAUAAUCUGCGGACUUCACCUAGAACUCCAAGCGAAUGACAACAAGAGCGUUCCGGUGGACUAUACCAGAUUACCUUCGGAAGAGUCAACUUUUAUCGUAGCGGAAAAAAACGGACAUUCUGCAAAAAGUUCGCCGAUGUCACGCCUGCGAGUAUGCGCAGCAUUCAAUAAAGGAUUUCCUUCAACACCUAUCGCAAGAACUGUCACUACUCGGCGAAUCAUCGCAAAUCCAGACAUAACACAAUAUGGAAUCUGCAAAAGCGUUCGGAAUAUGGCAGUUCCAUCGAAUUUGGGGAAAAGAAAACAUCAAAUUUCGGCCCUUUACAAAUUACACAUGGUCCUUUAGCGCUGGGGCAUCGUCUCCCAUAGAUGAACCAUUCGUUCUAUGUGCAUCAAUUGAAGUAGAGCUGCCUAAUCCAAGGGAAGUCUUAAGGCUCACUGUCAAUGCAUCAGUUUUCUAUAAUAAAUUUUAAUUAUUUUCUAGCACCAAUUGGUUGGAUAUUCGGUGGCUGUAGAGGUAGAGUAUAGAAGGUUAGCAGAUAGCUGGUGGAGGACACCUAAUAUUAGAAUGGAAAAGUCCAUCCACCAUUCGAAACAGAGAGGCACGCUUUACCCAAACACAAACUACGAGUUACAGUAUCUCUUCAUGGCGAAUCCAAUGCCUGACCUCCACACCUCGAGAAUGCUAAUGGAAAAAAGUGUAAGUCACGUUGAUCCUUAACUCGAUUCAUAUCGUCAAAAAAAAAACAGAUAAAAAAAAAAGGUGCAAGCAGCAUUC